Sciurus carolinensis (gray squirrel) is the source of this 6873-nucleotide long non-coding RNA. RefSeq lists it as uncharacterized. The transcript has 3 exons. NCBI's taxonomy places the organism in Eukaryota, Metazoa, Chordata, Mammalia, Rodentia, Sciuridae. The record is from RefSeq and is a predicted model, not a curated record.
GGACACCGCUGCUGUCUCUUGGAAGAAGACAUGUCAGUCAGGCUGCUGACCAGCCAGGAGCAUAGAAGAUAGUGCCGACGUUGGGGCUGCCUGAACUGAAGGCCACCACAGGACAAGAGAGGCAGUCCUUGAUUAAGAACCAAAGUCUGGGAGACCUGUGGCUAGAGAAAGCAAGUGAGAAAGCAGAGUGGGGUGACACGGGAACAGAAAACACAGCCUUGAGGAGAAGGUGCGAUGUGCAGAGGAGCUUCCCAGACACCGUGGCCAUUGGGGCGUGUUGGGAUCUUUGCCCUGAGCUGUCCCGAGAAGGUGAGUGCCACCCUGUGGGCAGGAAGGGCCCUGUGAGGAGAGCCCACAGUCCUGCUGUGUCUGAUUGGUCGAUCCAGAGGGCAGCUGUUGGUCUGUUGUUAAUGGAGUCUGUCUCACGUUGGUACAAAUUCAAGACUCAGUGAUACUGAGAAGCCUCCUAGCACAGAAAGAUUUCUGUCCCUGUACAUAAUUGCCUAACUAGUUUAAAGAGGUCCAGUUCGCUCACUUAAGUGACUUAUAUGAACAUAAAGCAGUGUUGAUGGAAACCUGAAGCCUCUGAAUCUACUGACAUCUGAGAAGAGGGAGCAGAAACCACAGCAGAGCCGCAGGGGUACCCAGAAGUGGGGACUCUGGGACAAGCCACCUUGCUUCCUAGGCAAGCAGACUUCAACAUGCUUCAUGGUGAAACACAGGACCAGAGGGACAGAGCGAUGGAGGAGUUGAAACCAGGAGUGGCUUGUGUUCUGCCAGGCACGCUGGGCACUUAGAGUGAAGGGAAGAUGAGGUGGUGCCCUCUUGUCUCCUGCUCAGGACACAUGGCCCUUGCCCACACAGGCAAGUGGGGGGCUGGAACCUCAGGCUACUGAGGAAGCCACUCACACUCGAGACUCAUCUCUGCCAGAUGGAUGAGGGACAAGGGACAAUGCACACUUAAGAGUAGGUCUGCCCCAAGCCCACACUGACCUCUAAUGACCCCUUCAGGCUUGUGAGACCAGCACCCAUCUGCCGUGUGGAUGCGCAGCCUCACCAUUUCCAGUGGAGAAAAAAAGGCAUUGGCCGUUUUCCAUUUGGGUUUUAUUCUUGAGUUUUUGCCAGCUGUUUUCUGCUAGAGUUCCGUGUCCAUCAUAUCACUAUUUCAUUACAGCUGUGAAAUGUGUGCUGAGGGUUAAAACUCCUCUUCACCUUCAUGAAAUCUGAGAAAUCAGACUCUUCUGUGGUUUUCCCCAGGCAACCCAGAGGCUUCGCACACAUCUGCCUAAGAAGCCUGGGGCUGGUCUUGUGAGUCUCGCAGAGACCACUCCCUUCACCCCAGACCCCUCCUGUGCUUGCAAGUCCACGACCUCCUGCCUGCAGCCACGCAGGUCGGCAGUCAGGAGAGGAUCAGAUGAAGGCCUGGUGUCCGGCGGACCUCCUCCAGCUCCACCCUGCCCUUCUGCUGUGCCGCAUGGGUUCCAGCCGCCGUGUUCUAGGAGGGACAGUUCAGAUUGUUCCUCCACUUCACUGCUGGUCCUUGGGGAAUGUCAAGCAGGCUCUGCUCUGUGACAGGUGCCUUGUUUCCAGUAAGCACGUGUCACCCAGCAGCAGGGCUCUGCCCCAAGGUGUCCCAGUGCUGUGCUCAAGGAAGCCGGAGGCGGCACAGGCACACAGAUCCCCUCCUGCUCGGAGACGCCACAGCAGCACCAUGGUGUGUGGGCAGACAGUGCAGGCCCCGCUGCUGCCCGCCGCAGGAAGCGCCUAGGCCCUCACUGUCUCCCAGGCCUGCUGCCUCCUGCAGCUGCACACUCACCCUCCCGUUAUCUGACUCCAUGCAGUGACAUGCUCCCUCUGCUGCGGACUCCCGGUGCCCUGCACAUUGCUGGGCCCAGACCUUGACUGCACCCUGGCCACGGGGGCCACUCAGGUCUCUCAGUCGUGGAGACAGCCCACCCAGGAAACACCUGCUCUCUGUGUCUCACUCAGGCCUCUCCUGCACCGGGAUACUCUGGUGUUUGACUACUGUCUACCUCUAGAGAGCAGGGUUCAACCCCUUACUGCCAUGUCCCCAGAACUUGGGAAGAGUGUCUGGAUAGAAAACCCUGCUCCCAUUUCCAACCGAACAGCAGAAGCGAUCACUUUCUGGCUUCCUGGAAAGGCACAGCCUCUCACAGCCCAGCAAGGCCAGCUUCAUGCAUGUCCUGUCCUUUCAGAGCCUCAGAAACAGCUGUGUGAGCACACGGCUGACUCCAGCAGUCUCCCUGACUGACUUUGUUCUCUGCUUCCUCUGGGGGUGCCAACCUGGAGAAGUCACUGCAUGAAGCUUUCAGGACUGUUCUGUGAGGGGUUCACAGGACCACACAACUUCCCUGAGACUGCAUGACUUUACACCUCAGAAUCAGGCGUGAGAUGUUGGCAGGUCUGUUCCCCAAAUCUGAGAAGGGUCUAGAGAAUCUGCAAGUAGCACUCCUAGGCCACAGUGGGAGUCAUGACUUCAGUGGAAGAUGGACAGCAUUUUGGUUUUUGUAGAUGUAUGUUCUUCACAUUUUUGAAAAUUAGAGCAUUAUAAUGACACAAAGUAUUUGGGUUCAUUUUGACAAGAUCUUACAGGCGAGGAGUAUAAUUUCAAUCCUCAUACCCCUUGAUCCUCCCUCUGCUCUUGACGUCUCUAAAGAGGAAACAGGUGCCUCAGAGAUGCUCAACAGCCAAACCUGAGCAGCAAACCAAAGCUGCCACAAUGAGUGAGUCGGGACAGAAGAAGGAAACAGGCUUCAGCCAUCGCUUUUCAAAUAAUUAAUGAUAACACUUAAAAACUAAAUUAAAUGGGGACUCUCAAAUAAAUAUACCACAAGGGUUGGCAUUUCAGAGUCUUAGGUUCAAAUGUUUGAUCAGCCAAGAACUCAACUCUAGUUUGGGAGACGGUAUCACACGUUCACGUGGCCGACCGCGCAUCCAGCCUCUGGUUCAGGAGACGGUCACACGUUCACGUGGCCGACCGCGCAUCCAGCCUCUGGUUCAGGAGAGGGUGUCCCACACUCGUGGCCGACUACGCAUCUGCCUCUGGUUUGGUAGAGUCAUGAUAACUGUACUUCCCUUUUACUCCAUAUACGGCACAUUUGCCUUGAACCUGACUUCUCUGAGCAAAGGAGCAAAAACCAAAGCACCAGUGACAUAGACGUCACUGUGUUUCAGCGUGCAGCGGCACGUGAGGAUAGUCCAUGUCAGGAAAAAGACCUUUCUUGCACUUCCUGCAGUUGUAUGCCACAGAGGACACCUCCCUGUCCCUGGGGACCUACAUCCUGACUGCUCAGACGCUGCUCCUCGAGUCUGUGGGUGCUGUCUAGUACUCCACCUACACAAACUGCUCAGCCCAGAAUCUCAGGGCAUUUAUAGACACAGACCCUUCUAUCAUCUUAGCAUAGGGUUCCAUCCGACAGGAUUUUAUUGAAGUUCCAGAAAUUAAAAGGACAUGGUAGCACAAAAUAAGGAAAACCCAGGGAGAAAAUGCAAAUGAAACAAAUCCUGAUUUUUGCCUCUCCAAACCAUUUCUAAUCUAAGUCUCCUCUCUCUUUUCCCUCACCUUUCUGUCUUCCCUUUGCACCCCUUAGGAACCCAGGCUACCUUCAAUAUAGGCUAUGCUGGCUAUGCUGGCAAUAUAGGCUAUCUUUUGCCGUUCACCCUUUGACAAGGGUGAGCUGGGAUUUAGGGUGUCCACAAAGUGUCCCUGUCCCAGAUUAUGAAAGGGAGCUUUGGUUUGGCCCUGGGACCCCUCCUAGGAACUCAGUAACUGAGCUCUGGAGAGGUGUGGGCAGCAGACUGCAGUGCUCAGAGGCGAGUGGUCAGGCUGGAUGAGUCCACACUGCCAUCUGGAGGCCCCUGGGAGAGUGACAUGGAGUCCUGGCAUUCCUUGAGGAGUGAGGGUCCUCCAUGCUUUCUGGGACCUCAGCCAAGUCUUCACAAAUCUCGGCUGUCUAGUCAGGCCGAGGUACAGCCCACUCUUGAGAUCACCCGUGACUCCGUACCCCUUCCUGCGGACAUCAAUCUACAUUCCACAUUUUUGGAAUUUUCCUAGUAUAGAAGAAACGUUUUUUCAGGAUGAUUCACAAGCAGUCAGGAGACAAGGAGAGCAACAUGGCCGCUGAACUCAUGCCCAAGUGGACAGGGGCAAUGCGAUGCCCCCCCCCCCCCGGCAUAAGUCUCCCAGGCCUUGGGUGCUCACGGCUGAAUGGUCCAGGCCUCUCCUUUCAUCAGCGGCAGAGAACAGUCGCCACCUUAAAUGCACACACAUCCACUAGGAACUGAAGAAGGUGGGCAAGGCUGCGACGAUGACCCAGAGGUCCCGGGAGACUACGCUCCCAUGCCGCUCUGAGAGCUCCAGCGUGGCCUGACUUAUGCCUGGCUGCGGCCCUCAGCCCCAAGCUCCAGACCAUGUGUGGGCAUGGCUGCCACCCUCCCCACCCGUGAAGCGCCUUCCUUUCAAGUCUACGCCUGCUGCUAGAAACCCAGGGAGUGGGGAAGGAGUUUGAGCUGCACCAGGUCUCAAUCUUUUUCUCACAGCUGAAAGCAGAUAGCAGCCCAUGAUGGCAACAGUAAGUUUUGUUCAGGUUCAAAGAAGCUCUGAAGCAAUUCAUGAAUUCUAGAAGAGUCAGGGAGAUAUCAGCAGAGACAAUAAGACUUUACCUGGACUCCAAAGAGUGUCUUUUAUACAGCUCAAGUGGACAGGAAACAGUAUUAGAACUAAAGAGUGAUGUGACGUCACACCCGCUUGGUGAAGCAGCCCAGCUAAUCAAGGAAGCUGGGUGGGGAGGAAGAGUCUAUUUGUGGAAGAACGGCAAGACCUGAACUUGAGGUGGCAUAAAAGCCAUGGUUGGGUGCUAAGCAACUAUGUGGGUUGCACACGUGAGUGUUCAGGUGGACAGGGUAUCAUGGUUUGGAUGUAAGGUCCCCCAGAAGUUCAUGUGUGACAGUGCAAGAAGGUCUAGAGGAGAAAUGAUGGGGUUACGAGAGCCUUAACCCAAUCAGUGAAUUAAUCACCUAAAGGGUUUAGCUGAGCAGUAACUGGGGGCAGGUGGGGUGGGUUGGAAAAGUGGUUAACUGGGGGCGUGGCUUUGGGGUAUAUAUUUUGUAUCUGGUGAGUGGAGUUGCUCUCUUUGCCUCCUGAUCAUGCGACCUGCUUCCCUCUGCCACACUCUUCCGCCAUGAUGUUCUGACUCACCUUGAGCCCCGAGGAAUGCAGUUAGCCUUCUAUGGACUAAGACCCCUGAAACACUGAGCCCUCAAAUAAACUUUUCCUCCUAUACAAUUGUUCUGGUCGGGUCUUUUACUCCCAGCAGCAAAACAGUUGGCUAAGACACAGUGUGAUGGGCUGUCAGAGCUGGGUGUGUUCUUUACCUGUUGGCUUACCUGGUGGUGUGAUCACACCUGGGACCCCCGUUCCCUCAGCUUCUGGGCCCUCUGCUUGUCUAGCCCACAGCACAGGAGACCUGCUCACUGGAGGGAGGCUGGAGCGGGUGAGACUGACUCAGGAAUCUCCGUGGCAGCAGGCCCUAGUCCCAUCUGUCCUUGUGGCACCCCCCAAUUCCAGCCUGUGCUGUGGAUUUCAGUUCUAGUAUUGAGCACAGAAACAAAGGCCUCACAGAUUAACCCAGAUCCUUAUUAAUUUGGUGAGAUCAAAUUUUACCACAGACCCAUCUUGUGCUUCCCAGGUUGCUUCUCUGGUGGAACCUGUCUGCUGAAGAUGUAGACACUCCCCAGCUGUGUCUGCAGGGAUCACCACUGGGAUCAAAAGAUCUGAUGAGAGGAACUUGGGAGGAGAAAAAGCCCAUCUUGGCUCAGAGGUGUUUCUGGUUCUGAGGUUUAGUCCCUGGUUGUCAGACUCCAUAGCUCUGGACCAAGGCGAGGCAGAACAUCAUGGCACAAGGGCAUGGUGGAGCAAAGUUGCCCGGCUCAUGGCAGCCUGGAGGCACAGGGAGGGGAGAGAGCUGCAGGGACAAUGCACUCUUCCAAGGUCCCUGCAGGGCAGUUGACAGGUCCCUGCAGGGGCUGGGCAUAUGGCCUAGAGGUGAGCAGUGAGCUCUAUAAAUCCCAGGAGCCCUGUUCCUAAGAUAAACUGGCCAACAAGAUAGAUUUCUCCAAAAUCCUUGAAAGAAAGCAUCUUCCCUGAACAUCCCCAGGGACCCACCUUCUCCAGAUAUGUCCAACCUGCCUGGUCACCACCCAGUUAGUUCACUCAGACUAGGAUGGACCACUGGGUUACAACUCUCAUAAUCCAAUCAUUUUGCCUCUAUAAACAUGCCUGCAUAAACUUUACGGGGCACUUACAUUCAAAACAUUACAUCUGAGUAUUUGAUAUUAAAAAAGCAAAUUUUUAUAUCCUAAUCCUAUGGCAGGGACAGCCCAAGAGCUGGUGUGAAUCUAGGGAAGGGAGACUGAGUGAAAUAUUAACAUACAUGUACUGCAGAUCAUAAAGGGCGCAACUGGGUAACAUGUACAGAAAAGAAAAGAAGGAACCCUACUGGGGUAAUAAAUAAGACCCUUGGUAGAAAGAUAAUUGUCCUGCUAAUUUGUCAAAUCCUGAUCAGCUGGACUGUAGUAAUCUCCAAGAGUAGGCCUGCAGCUGAGGCAAAUGUCCAGCUCAAGAGUAGCACCUAUGCACACAGGCUUGGAUCAGGUUAUGUUCUAGAGGUCAAACCUACUAAAGCACAUGGCAGGAAGCACUUCCACACUACACAUAUAGGCAUCGAGAGUCAGUCUGUGCCCAGGGAGCGAGGGCAACACCUCCACAGUGGGCAGUGAGCAGAUGAGUGAGGGCAACACCUACACACUGGGCAGUGAGAAGGGAGUGAGGGCAAAACCUACAGAGUGGGCAGU